AUCAACGCUGGCGGCGCGCCUAACACAUGCAAGUCGAGCGAGAAAGUCCCCGCAAGGGGAUGAGUACAGCGGCGCACGGGUGAGUAACACGUGGGCAAUCUGCCCUCCAGUGGGGGAUAACCCGGGGAAACCUGGGCUAAUACCGCGUAACAUCUUCUUUCCUGCGGGAGAGGGGAUCAAAGGAGCAAUUCGCUGGAGGAGGGGCCCGCGGCCGAUUAGCUAGUUGGCGGGGUAACGGCCCACCAAGGCAACGAUCGGUAGCCGGUCUGAGAGGACGCACGGCCACACUGGGACUGAAACACGGCCCAGACUCCUACGGGAGGCAGCAGUGGGGAAUCUUGCACAAUGGGGGAAACCCUGAUGCAGCGACGCCGCGUGAGCGAUGAAGCCCUUCGGGGCGUAAAGCUCUUUCGGCGGGGAAGAUGGUGACGGUACCCGCAAAAAGAAGCCCCGGCGUAACUACGUAGCCA
RNAcentral lists this ribosomal RNA (470 nucleotides) under uncultured bacterium. Its description in RNAcentral is "bacterial SSU rRNA". It matches the Rfam family "Bacterial small subunit ribosomal RNA", at positions 29 to 510 of the family's 1533-position model. The record is from RNAcentral.